GGUCCGACUGUGAAGAGGGACUGAGUUCGGGUUGUUCGGCGUCCGCUGUAAAAACCGCCCGGUUGCGGGGCCGGGGCGGGCGGCGGGCGGCGAGCCCUUCCGCUGGAAGGCUGCACGAGCAGCUGAAGCUCCGCAAAGACCCUCUCGCGUUACCGUGGCGUCGCGGGAGCUCUUCUGUCCGGGAGCGGCUCGUGCACCUGCGCGGUGCCCUCCAGACAAAGGCGUCCCAGCCGAGCCCUCGCCGUGAGGGAAAGGGGAUAUUGGUCCUCCUCUGACGUGUCUGGUGACCAGGAUGAGAACGCUGGGGCAUCGUGCUCUCUCGGAGGCCGGCAGGGGCAUUCUGGGAAAACUGGCCGAGGCCACCUAAAGGCUUUGGGAAUAGAUAAGAAAGAGAAUGGCUGACCUCUGGAUUUCCAGGUUUGUGAGAGCCUCGUGAGGUUGAGAAAAGACCAAGUGAUUGGAGCCUCACUGUAAAGAUAAAGGAAGAUUAUUCAACCCUCCAGUGGUACUUGCCAAGAGAUACAGAAGUCUGGAUCUGCAAUGAGGCUGCAAGGUGAUUUCUGAUCAGUGAAGAAUAGAGUUGGAGUUUUAAAAAGGAGGAAUCUAGAUCUUAAAUGCCCCGGGUUCAAACCCAGGUCCCCUGACAUGGAGCAGAAUACUGCAGAAAGCGCCAGUGUGCAGUGGAUCCCCUUCAUAAGGCCCUGCCAGAAAUAUCCCCAGGUUGAAGCAAUUCACAACCCCUCACCUUGCUCUGAAUGCUGUGCAAAGUUGUAGUUUGUGAACAUAUGGGAACCAGCCGUUAAUUCAGGCUUCUCAGAGAUUACAAAGCCUGCAGAGACUGUAAAAUCAGGUAAAAAUUUUGAAAGGAGCACAUUUCCUGGGCAGUUUUUGUAUUCCCAGUUAGAUUCCCAGCAGUCUGAGAAAUAGGUAUGUAAAUUAAAGAAAGUUAUUUAAAAAUUCCAGGGCCAGAAGAUAUUAAUAAAUCUGAUUUUGGUUCUAAAAUGGGCAAAGACUCGAGUCAGCAAAAUUUGAGACCACUUCUAAUUUUAUCUGACCCAUUUGGUUACACGCUGCUUCUUGUGACAAUAUCAGUGCCCCUGGUAUUCUCGAGAACUAGAAAGGUGUAUGGAAAGAAUGCAGGACUCAAAGUCCAGAGACCUGGAUUCAAGGUCAGGUCAGACUGUCCCUUAAAAGCAGAGCAAGCUGGUCCCUUGAGCCUCAUUUUCAUAUGUAAAUUGGAGAUGGCCUGACUAUUGACUUGGUAUUGUUAAUACAAAAACCCACAUGAAAUACUUUGCAAUAUAUAGGGUCUACAACAUAAAAUGCAUUAAUCAAUUGAGGGAGGCAAAAAUUAUAGCUAACAUAAAGACCAUAUGUGAAACAUAUUUUCUAUUUGAUUAUAAGCAAGAAUAGAGUUUUUCUCUCUACCUCCUUUUCUUCCUACCUCUAUUCACUUAACUGACAUUUACUGAGUGCCUAAUAUGUGCCAGACAUUUUAUCAGGUGCUGGGAAUACAGUGGCAAACACAUCAGAUAAGAUACCUUCAAGGGAGCAGGCAAUCAAAGAAUGUGCAAAUAUAUAAAUGAAUAAUUUCUGAGGAUGAGAAGCACUAUGGAGAUAAUGAUUACAAAAGAACUUUUUGAGGAGGAGACACAUAGUCUGCAAUCCGAAUGAUCACAAAGAGUCUCUGGUACAGAAGAAAAAGAAAAAGUGAGAGGAAUAUUCCAGAAAGAGAGAAUAACAACUGCAAAUCCCUAAGACUGAAUUAUCUUGGCAUGUUUAAGCGACAGAAUCAAGGCCCCUGCAGUAGUAGUAUAAUGAAUGAAGAAGAGGGUUUACCAGACAAGUUGGACAGGUAAUACGUGUAGGAAGGGCCUUGGAGAGUGUGGCAAAGAAUUAGAUUUUAUUCUAAAUUCACUGAGAAGCCAUUAGAUAGUUUUAAGCAGGACAAUGACUUAAUCUGAUUUGCAUGGUCGAGAUCUUUGAUAAGAUCAAGUAAAGAGGUAGAGUCUGUUAACAUUGUAACACUGAGUGUUUUUGUUCAGAGAGGCAGCCAAUAUUUGGCUUUAAAAAGAUUCUUCCACUGUGGAGGUUGAUCAACAUCUCAGUCUCAACAUGCUGUAAUUGAGAUUUCUUUCCAGUAGGGUUUCUCUCCAUUUCUUCCCUCUUUCAGAAAUGGUCAUUAAAUGCUUCCAUCUUUGGAACAAAAACCAUGAAUGCAUCUUCGACUCAUCUAAUCCAUCAGCAAAGCCAGAGGUGAUUCCUCACCUUCUUCAUUGGAAGUACCAUGGCCCAAGUCACACUCGGCUCUGCCCAGAUGACUGCAAUGGCCUCCUAGCUGGUCUCCCUGCUUUCGACCUUGUCUUUCUGCAGGCUAUUUUCAACACAGCUGUCAGAAAGAGUCUGAUGAUAUGAUUUCUCUGUCCAAAACCUUCCGUUUGCUCUCUCAUCUCAGAGUCAAAAUCAAGGUCCUCACAAUGUCAUGUAAGACUUGACCCCAUGUAGCCUACUUGCUUCUCUGUCGGCCUUUCAUGCCAAGUUCCUGUUGACUCAGCUUCAGUCACACUGGCCUUCUUGCUGCUCCUUGAACACUUAUGCCUCCUCUACCUCAGGUCUUGGCUCUUCCUGGCCCUUCUGCAUAAAAUGCAUUCUAUAGAUAUCCAUGAGGCUUUCUCAUUUGCCUGUUUCAGGAUUUUACUGAAAUUCCAUCUUCUCAAUAAGGCCAUCCUCAAUCCCACUCUCUAAAAUGGCACCAGUGUCCCCAACACUCCCUUUUUCCCUUCUUGGCGUUAUGCUUUUCCAUAGUACUUACCCACAUCUACCAUACCAUAGAUUUCAGUUAUUUAUCUGGGCCAAACUAAAAUAUACUACUCCAAACUAGAAUAUAAGGUCUGUAAGAGCAAGAUUGUUGGUCUGUUUAUUCAUUGCUGUGUUCCCAAUACCACAUAAC
Acinonyx jubatus (cheetah) is the source of this 2950-nucleotide long non-coding RNA. RefSeq lists it as uncharacterized. NCBI's taxonomy places the organism in Eukaryota, Metazoa, Chordata, Mammalia, Carnivora, Felidae. The transcript is spliced from 4 exons. The record is from RefSeq and is a predicted model, not a curated record.